RNAcentral lists this transfer RNA (69 nucleotides) under Staphylinidae sp. BMNH 1274232. RNAcentral's name for it is "tRNA-Gln". Lineage: Eukaryota; Metazoa; Arthropoda; Insecta; Coleoptera; Staphylinidae. The record is from RNAcentral.
UAUAUUUUAGUAUAUGAUGUACAUAAAUUUUUGAAAUUUAACGAAAUAGUUUAAUUCUAUUAAGUAUAG